AAACGACUCUCGGCAACGGAUAUCUCGGCUCUCGCAUAGAUGAAGAACGUAGCGAAAUGCGAUACUUGGUGUGAAUUGCAGAAUCCCGUGAACCAUCGAGUCUUUGAACGCAAGUUGCGCCCGAAGCCAUUAGGUUGAGGGCACGUCUGCCUGGGCGUCU
RNAcentral lists this ribosomal RNA (160 nucleotides) under Stewartia pseudocamellia x Stewartia ovata var. grandiflora. RNAcentral describes it as "5.8S ribosomal RNA". It matches the Rfam family "5.8S ribosomal RNA". Rfam says of the family: 5.8S ribosomal RNA (5.8S rRNA) is a component of the large subunit of the eukaryotic ribosome. It is transcribed by RNA polymerase I as part of the 45S precursor that also contains 18S and 28S rRNA. Functionally, it is thought that 5.8S rRNA may be involved in ribosome translocation. Lineage: Eukaryota; Viridiplantae; Streptophyta; Magnoliopsida; Ericales; Theaceae. The record is from RNAcentral.